CCUACGGGAGGCAGCAGUGGGGAAUAUUGCGCAAUGGGCGAAAGCCUGACGCAGCGACGCCGCGUGCGGGAUGAAGGUCUUCGGAUCGUAAACCGCUGUCGGGGGGGACGAAACCAAUGACGGUACCCCCAAAGGAAGCACCGGCUAACUCUGUGCCAGCAGCCGCGGUAAUACAGAGGGUGCGAGCGUUGUCCGGAAUCACUGGGCGUAAAGGGCGCGUAGGCGGCCUGAUAAGUAGGGGGUGAAAUCCUGCGGCUUAACCGCAGGGCUGCCUUCUAGACUGUCGGGCUCGAGCACAGUAGAGGCAGGUGGAAUUCCCGGUGUAGCGGUGGAAUGCGUAGAGAUCGGGAAGAACAUCAGUGGCGAAGGCGGCCUGCUGGGCUGUUGCUGACGCUGAGGCGCGACAGCGUGGGGAGCAAACAGGAUUAGAUACCCGAGUA
This 440-nucleotide ribosomal RNA is filed under the name uncultured bacterium. RNAcentral describes it as "bacterial SSU rRNA". It matches the Rfam family "Bacterial small subunit ribosomal RNA", at positions 338 to 792 of the family's 1533-position model. The record is from RNAcentral.